This 653-nucleotide ribosomal RNA is filed under the name uncultured bacterium. Its description in RNAcentral is "bacterial SSU rRNA". It matches the Rfam family "Bacterial small subunit ribosomal RNA", at positions 232 to 885 of the family's 1533-position model. The record is from RNAcentral.
CGCGGCCUAUCAGCUUGUUGGUGGGGUAAUGGCCUACCAAGGCUUCGACGGGUAGCCGGCCUGAGAGGGUGACCGGCCACACUGGGACUGAGACACGGCCCAGACUCCUACGGGAGGCAGCAGUGGGGAAUAUUGGACAAUGGGCGGAAGCCUGAUCCAGCAACGCCGCGUGAGGGAUGACGGCCUUCGGGUUGUAAACCUCUUUCAGUACCGACGAAGCGCCCGUUGUGGGUGGUGACGGUAGGUACAGAAGAAGCACCGGCCAACUACGUGCCAGCAGCCGCGGUAAUACGUAGGGUGCGAGCGUUGUCCGGAAUUAUUGGGCGUAAAGGGCUCGUAGGCGGUUUGUCGCGUCGGGGGUGAAAACACCGGGCUUAACUCGGUGCCUGCUUUCGAUACGGGCAGACUAGAGGUAUGCAGGGGAGAACGGAAUUCCUGGUGUAGCGGUGAAAUGCGCAGAUAUCAGGAGGAACACCGGUGGCGAAGGCGGUUCUCUGGGCAUUACCUGACGCUGAGGAGCGAAAGUGUGGGGAGCGGACAGGAUUAGAUACCCUGGUAGUCCACACCGUAAACGUUGGGCGCUAGGUGUGGGGCCUAUUCCAUGGGUUCCGUGCCGCAGCUAACGCAUUAAGCGCCCCGCCUGGGGAGUACGG